RNAcentral lists this ribosomal RNA (484 nucleotides) under uncultured bacterium. Its description in RNAcentral is "partial 16S ribosomal RNA". It matches the Rfam family "Bacterial small subunit ribosomal RNA", at positions 30 to 507 of the family's 1533-position model. The record is from RNAcentral.
AUUGAACGCUGGCGGAAUGCUUUACACAUGCAAGUCGAACGGCAGCACGGGGGCAGCCCUGGUGGCGAGUGGCGAACGGGUGAGUAAUACAUCGGAACGUGCCCGGUCGUGGGGGAUAACGUAGCGAAAGUUACGCUAAUACCGCAUACGAUCUGAGGAUGAAAGCGGGGGACCUUCGGGCCUCGCGCGAUCGGAGCGGCCGAUGUCAGAUUAGGUAGUUGGUGGGGUAAAGGCCUACCAAGCCGACGAUCUGUAGCUGGUCUGAGAGGACGACCAGCCACACUGGGACUGAGCCACGGCCCAGACUCCUACGGGAGGCAGCAGUGGGGAAUUUUAGACAAUGGGCGCAAGCCUGAUCCAGCCAUUCCGCGUGCAGGACGAAGGCCUUCGGGUUGUAAACUGCUUUUGUACGGAACGAAAAGGCUCUGGCUAAUACCUGGGGCUCAUGACGGUACCGUAAGAAUAAGCACCGGCUAACUACGUG